GCCUGGGUGGCUGAGUCAGUUAAGUGUCUGACUUCAGCUCAGGUCAUGAUCUCGCAGCACGUGGGUUCAAGCCCCACACCGGGCU
Molecule: transfer RNA, 85 nt
Filed under: Felis catus (domestic cat)
Lineage: Eukaryota; Metazoa; Chordata; Mammalia; Carnivora; Felidae
Rfam family: tRNA
About the family: Transfer RNA (tRNA) molecules are approximately 80 nucleotides in length. Their secondary structure includes four short double-helical elements and three loops (D, anti-codon, and T loops).
Source: Rfam by way of RNAcentral